Molecule: transfer RNA, 66 nt
Filed under: Marmota monax (woodchuck)
Lineage: Eukaryota; Metazoa; Chordata; Mammalia; Rodentia; Sciuridae
Description: tRNA.Ala
Source: RNAcentral
GGAUUGUGGCUCAGCGGUAGAGCACUCCUCUAGCAUGGGUGGGACCGGGUUCGAUCCUCAGCACCA